This 280-nucleotide ribosomal RNA is filed under the name uncultured bacterium. RNAcentral's name for it is "partial 16S ribosomal RNA". It matches the Rfam family "Bacterial small subunit ribosomal RNA", at positions 506 to 784 of the family's 1533-position model. The record is from RNAcentral.
UGCCAGCCGCCGCGGUAAUACGAAGGGACCUAGCGUAGUUCGGAAUUACUGGGCUUAAAGAGUUCGUAGGUGGUUGAAAAAGUUGGUGGUGAAAUCCCAGAGCUUAACUCUGGAACUGCCAUCAAAACUUUUCAGCUAGAGUUUGAUAGAGGAAAGCAGAAUUUCUAGUGUAGAGGUGAAAUUCGUAGAUAUUAGAAAGUAAUGUCCGUGGCGAAAGCGGUUACCCAAGUUACUACUGACGCUGAGGAACGAAAGCAUAGGUAGCAAACAGGAUUAGAUA